This 137-nucleotide ribosomal RNA is filed under the name uncultured bacterium. Its description in RNAcentral is "partial 16S ribosomal RNA". It matches the Rfam family "Bacterial small subunit ribosomal RNA", at positions 355 to 509 of the family's 1533-position model. The record is from RNAcentral.
UAAGGGAUAUUGGUCAAUGGGGGAAACCCUGAACCAGCAACGCCGCGUGAGGGAAGACGGUUUUCGGAUUGUAAACCUCUGUCCUCUGUGAAGAUGAUGACGGUAGCAGAGGAGGAAGCUCCGGCUAACUACGUGCA